UGGGGAAUUUUGCGCAAUGGGGGAAACCCUGACGCAGCAACGCCGCGUGAGUGAUGAAGGCCUUCGGGUCGUAAAGCUCUGUCAGAGGGGAAGAAGUGUGAGGUGGCUAAUAUCCAUUUCACUUGACGGUACCUUCAAAGGAAGCACCGGCUAACUCCGUGCCAGCAGCCGCGGUAAUACGGAGGGUGCGAGCGUUGUUCGGAAUUAUUGGGCGUAAAGCGCGUGUAGGCGGUUUUUUAAGUCUGAUGUGAAAGCCCUGGGCUCAACCCGGGAAGUGCAUUGGAAACUGGGAGACUUGGAAUACGGGAGAGGGCAGUGGAAUUCCUGGUGUAGGAGUGAAAUCCGUAGAUAUCAGGAGGAACACCGGUGCGAAGGCGGCUGCCUGGACCGAUAUUGACGCUG
This 402-nucleotide ribosomal RNA is filed under the name uncultured bacterium. RNAcentral's name for it is "bacterial SSU rRNA". It matches the Rfam family "Bacterial small subunit ribosomal RNA", at positions 355 to 748 of the family's 1533-position model. The record is from RNAcentral.